This 608-nucleotide long non-coding RNA is filed under the name Crocodylus porosus (Australian saltwater crocodile). RNAcentral's name for it is "lncRNA (ENSCPRG00005005459.1)". Lineage: Eukaryota; Metazoa; Chordata; Crocodylia; Crocodylidae. The record is from RNAcentral.
UUAAUGCCUAUGAAUAACCCCAAACCAUUUCAUGCUUCAGAAAAGCUUGAAGGAAUUGGAACUUUCUAUUUGAUAUUUAAACUUAAAUUCUGUUAAUUGCCUGGUAAGCUGUUCAACUGCAAAGGAAAAGAUUACCGGUGAAUAUAGAAAGGAAGCAUCUAAGCAGAAGUCUUUGGAUUAAAGCUGUGGUAUCUUGGACAAAUCUACCUGUUGGACACAUUCUUAAAGAAAUGGUCAGGAAAGGACUGUUAAUGUCCACUGACAGAGGGUGGAUCAACGCCAAGAUGAAGGGGCCAGAUUGAAGUGAACCCACCAGUUUUGCGUUCAGCUAAGAAAUUGAUACCAGGUGGCAACCCUGAAUGUGAGAGAAGACAUCGAGCUAUGUACCUGGGUGACACGAUUAGUGACUGGGGUAAACUGACUCAAGUUGCUUUAUCUUGAAGGACUGUGAGUUCAUUGAUGAAAGCAAAUGAGCCCGGUGUGAACAGUGUAUAGGACGGACUUGUCUUAUGGAUUGACUAUCAGAGGAUCAAUUUGGAGGGUUUGAGCCAGAUCCCAGCACUCUAGGAAGAGCCCUUAAAUUGGCUGCAAGGGGGCCAGUCCCCUAA